RNAcentral lists this long non-coding RNA (644 nucleotides) under Rattus norvegicus (Norway rat). Its description in RNAcentral is "long non-coding RNA NONRATT020121". Lineage: Eukaryota; Metazoa; Chordata; Mammalia; Rodentia; Muridae. The record is from RNAcentral.
GGUGAGCCACCUCUGGCAGCAGUUCCCACAUCAAGGCAGAUGGGCCCCGGAGGCAGGCCGAGACGACCAAUCCCAGUGACAUACUUUUAUGUUGACCAGUCUCUGGUGAUUCUCCCCGUAACAGUUUGUAAAGCACGUCUGGGCCAAGUUCAGCUUUUUCUCUGCAUCAUCAAGGCACUCCAGCUGUUCCAGGCGGAAGUAGCACCACACGAUGUCCAGCUGGAGGACUGCAUAGUUGUCCACAGUGUCCAGCAGCUCUUUGCACUCACUACAAGAGGAGGAAGCUGUCAUGGCAGAGCCCUUCAGCUCUCAGGGGUCCCUGGAAAGCCUUUUAGUUCUUGGUGUGUCUCUAGAAUUAACUAAUGGGGCCUUUAUUUACAAUAUGGGUCCUCUGAGUGGACAAAGAGGAAUAAGGGGUCUUGACAGCAGCAUGGUGGCCUCUGGCCCAGGACAGAGUGGCUUCCAGUCCUGGCUGUGACUUACAAUCCCCAAGACACGGGAGUCUUUCUUUGGGGAGACUGAUGCUGAAGGCCUAAUCAGGACAAGAGUGACAAAGCUCUCCACGACAGGAGCUGGAUGUCCUAUUGCUAAAAUCUCCCUAGGUGACUAACAUGGCUGUAAAGACACCCCGAAACCUGCAACUU